CCGCUUCUUCCUCCCGCGCCGCAGCCAGACGAAGAGGGCGAAGGCCGCCAGGAGAAGCGCUGCCGCGGCGGCGGAGGCGACUGCGGAGACUGGGAGCUGGUGGCCGCCGCGAGAUCGGAGCUCAUCAACGACGGCCGCGGCUGCGGCGGCGGGGGGUGGGGAGGCAUCGGGCGGCGGGGGCUGGCGCGAGGGCAUCAGCAGCGGAGGGGAAAAGACAAGCGGAGCAGCAGGGGGGCAGUGAUGAGCCGAAAAGUGAUUUGGCUUUUCGCCAUUCCUCAGAUGCGAGCGAGCGAGCNNNN
Molecule: long non-coding RNA, 299 nt
Filed under: Hordeum vulgare
Lineage: Eukaryota; Viridiplantae; Streptophyta; Magnoliopsida; Poales; Poaceae
Description: long non-coding RNA (HVUL_LNC010688)
Source: RNAcentral